AUUGUACGCUGGCGGCAUGCCUUACACAUGCAAGUCGAACGGCAGCACGGGAGCAAUCCUGGUGGCGAGUGGCGAACGGGUGAGUAAAGUAUCGGAACGUGCCCAGUCGUGGGGGAUAACGUAGCGAAAGUUACGCUAAUACCGCAUACGAUCUAUGGAUGAAAGCGGGGGAUCGCAAGCCCUCGCGCGAUUGGAGCGGCCGAUAUCAGAUUAGGUAGUUGGUGGGGUACAGGCUCACCAAGCCGACGAUCUGUAGCUGGUCUGAGAGGACGACCAGCCACACUGGGACUGAGACACGGCCCAGACUCCUACGGGAGGCAGCAGUGGGGAAUUUUGGACAAUGGGCGAAAGCCUGAUCCAGCCAUGCCGCGUGCAGGAUGAAGGCCUUCGGGUUGUAAACUGCUUUUGUACGGAACGAAAAGGUUUGGGCUAAUAAGCUGAGCUCAUGACGGUACCGUAAGAAUAAGCACCGGCUAACUACGUGCCAGCCGCCGCGGUAA
RNAcentral lists this ribosomal RNA (500 nucleotides) under uncultured bacterium. Its description in RNAcentral is "partial 16S ribosomal RNA". It matches the Rfam family "Bacterial small subunit ribosomal RNA", at positions 30 to 523 of the family's 1533-position model. The record is from RNAcentral.